Molecule: ribosomal RNA, 157 nt
Filed under: uncultured Methylotenera sp.
Lineage: Bacteria; Pseudomonadati; Pseudomonadota; Betaproteobacteria; Nitrosomonadales; Methylophilaceae
Description: partial 16S ribosomal RNA
Rfam family: Bacterial small subunit ribosomal RNA
Source: RNAcentral
AAUGCAUCUAGAUUCCUACGGGAGGCAGCAGUGGGGAAUUUUGGACAAUGGGCGCAAGCCUGAUCCAGCCAUUCCGCGUGAGUGAAGAAGGCCUUCGGGUUGUAAAGCUCUUUCGCAAGGGAAGAAAACUUAUCCUCUAACAUAGGAUGAGGUGCAC